RNAcentral lists this ribosomal RNA (398 nucleotides) under bacterium enrichment culture clone ALO1_GLFRUDD03F4SGP. RNAcentral's name for it is "bacterial SSU rRNA". It matches the Rfam family "Bacterial small subunit ribosomal RNA", at positions 9 to 407 of the family's 1533-position model. RNAcentral also lists the same sequence under 6 other names. The record is from RNAcentral.
GAGUUUGAUCAUGGCUCAGAUUGAACGCUGGCGGCAUGCCUUACACAUGCAAGUCGAACGGCAGCACGGGAGCUUGCUCCUGGUGGCGAGUGGCGAACGGGUGAGUAAUGCAUCGGAACGUAUCCUGGAGUGGGGGAUAACGUAGCGAAAGUUACGCUAAUACCGCAUAUUCUGUGAGCAGGAAAGCGGGGGACCUUCGGGCCUCGCGCUCUUGGAGCGGCCGAUGUCGGAUUAGCUAGUUGGUGAGGUAAAGGCUCACCAAGGCGACGAUCCGUAGCAGGUCUGAGAGGAUGAUCUGCCACACUGGAACUGAGACACGGUCCAGACUCCUACGGGAGGCAGCAGUGGGGAAUUUUGGACAAUGGGGGCAACCCUGAUCCAGCCAUGCCGCGUGAGUG